RNAcentral lists this ribosomal RNA (198 nucleotides) under Triticum aestivum (bread wheat). Its description in RNAcentral is "partial small subunit ribosomal RNA". The record is from RNAcentral. Lineage: Eukaryota; Viridiplantae; Streptophyta; Magnoliopsida; Poales; Poaceae.
AUGCGCAAGGGCCUCGCCUCGGCGACACUACUCAUUCCUUGGAUGCUUUGGAAGCAUCGGAACGACUGCGUCUUUGACAGAGCUAGCCCUUCUAUGGCUGCGCUUCUGGCUAAGAUCAAGGAGGAGGCGACCCUUUGGGCCAGAGCCGGCGCGCUGGGCCUGCGUGCCCUCAUUCCCCAGACCUGGGAUGUACACUAA